GAUGAACGCUGGCGGCGUGCCUAAUACAUGCAAGUCGAGCGAACGGACGAGAAGCUUGCUUCUCUGAUAUUAGCGGCGGACGGGUGAGUAACACGUGGAUAACCUACCUAUAAGACUGGGAUAACUUCGGGAAACCGUAGCUAGUACCGGAUAAUAUUUUGAACCGCAUGGUUCAAAAGUGAAAGACGGUCUUGCUGUCACUUAUAGAUGGAUCCGCGCUGCAUUAGCUAGUUGGUAAGGUAACGGCUUACCAAGGCAACGAUGCAUAGCCGACCUGAGAGGGUGAUCGGCCACACUGGAACUGAGACACGGUCCAGACUCCUACGGGAGGCAGCAGUAGGGAAUCUUCCGCAAUGGGCGAAAGCCUGACGGAGCAACGCCGCGUGAGUGAUGAAGGUCUUCGGAUCGUAAAACUCUGUUAUUAGGGAAGAACAUAUGUGUAAGUAACUGUGCACAUCUUGACGGUACCUAAUCAGAAAGCCACGGCUAACUACGUG
RNAcentral lists this ribosomal RNA (497 nucleotides) under uncultured bacterium. Its description in RNAcentral is "partial 16S ribosomal RNA". It matches the Rfam family "Bacterial small subunit ribosomal RNA", at positions 28 to 507 of the family's 1533-position model. The record is from RNAcentral.